UUCCAGACUCCUACGGGAGGCAGCAGUGGGGAAUAUUGCACAAUGGGGGAAACCCUGAUGCAGCGACGCCGCGUGAGUGAAGAAGUAUUUCGGUAUGUAAAGCUCUAUCAGCAGGGAAGAUAAUGACGGUACCUGACUAAGAAGCCCCGGCUAACUACGUGCCAGCAGCCGCGGUAAUACGUAGGGGGCAAGCGUUAUCCGGAUUUACUGGGUGUAAAGGGUGCGUAGGUGGCAGGGCAAGUCAGAUGUGAAAGCCCGGGGCUCAACCCCGGUACUGCAUUUGAAACUGUCCAGCUGGAGUGCAGGAGAGGUAAGCGGAAUUCCUAGUGUAGCGGUGAAAUGCGUAGAUAUCAGGAGGAACACCGGCGGCGAAGGCGGCUUACUGGACGGCAACUGACGUUGAGGCCCGAAAGCGUGGGGAGCGAACAGGAUUAGAUACCCUAGUACCU
Molecule: ribosomal RNA, 449 nt
Filed under: uncultured bacterium
Lineage: Bacteria
Description: bacterial SSU rRNA
Rfam family: Bacterial small subunit ribosomal RNA
Source: RNAcentral